This 206-nucleotide ribosomal RNA is filed under the name uncultured bacterium. RNAcentral describes it as "partial 16S ribosomal RNA". It matches the Rfam family "Bacterial small subunit ribosomal RNA", at positions 568 to 774 of the family's 1533-position model. The record is from RNAcentral.
CGCGUAGGCGGUUUGAUAAGUCAGAUGUGAAAGCCCAUGGCUUAACUGUGGAAGUGCAUUUGAAACUGUCAGACUUGAGUACCAGAGGGGAAAGUGGAAUUCCCGGUGUAGAGGUGAAAUUCGUAGAUAUCGGGAGGAAUACCGGUGGCGAAGGCGACUUUCUGGCUGGAUACUGCGCUGAGGCGCGAAAGCGUGGGGAGCAAACA